Molecule: ribosomal RNA, 586 nt
Filed under: uncultured bacterium
Lineage: Bacteria
Description: partial 16S ribosomal RNA
Rfam family: Bacterial small subunit ribosomal RNA
Source: RNAcentral
UGGGGAAUUUUGGACAAUGGGCGCAAGCCUGAUCCAGCCAUGCCGCGUGCGGGAAGAAGGCCUUCGGGUUGUAAACCGCUUUUGUCAGGGAAGAAAUCUUCUGAGUUAAUACCUCGGGAGGAUGACGGUACCUGAAGAAUAAGCACCGGCUAACUACGUGCCAGCAGCCGCGGUAAUACGUAGGGUGCAAGCGUUAAUCGGAAUUACUGGGCGUAAAGCGUGCGCAGGCGGUUUUGUAAGACAGAGGUGAAAUCCCCGGGCUCAACCUGGGAACUGCCUUUGUGACUGCAAGGCUUGAGUGCGGCAGAGGGGGGAUGGAAUUCCGCGUGUAGCAGUGAAAUGCGUAGAUAUGCGGAGGAACACCGAUGGCGAAGGCAAUCCCCUGGGCCUGCACUGACGCUCAUGCACGAAAGCGUGGGGAGCAAACAGGAUUAGAUACCCUGGUAGUCCACGCCCUAAACGAUGUCAACUGGUUGUUGGGAAGGUUCCUUCUCAAUAACGUAGCUAACGCGUGAAGUUGACCGCCUGGGGAGUACGGCCGCAAGGUUGAAACUUAAAUGAAUUGACGGGGUCAUAGCUGUUUCCU